RNAcentral lists this ribosomal RNA (478 nucleotides) under uncultured bacterium. Its description in RNAcentral is "partial 16S ribosomal RNA". It matches the Rfam family "Bacterial small subunit ribosomal RNA", at positions 28 to 523 of the family's 1533-position model. The record is from RNAcentral.
GAUGAACGCUGGCGGCGUGCUUAACACAUGCAAGUCGAACGGUAAGGCCCUUCGGGGUACACGAGUGGCGAACGGGUGAGUAACACGUGGGUGAUCUGCCCUGCACUUCGGGAUAAGCCUGGGAAACUGGGUCUAAUACCGGAUAGGACCACUGCCUGCAUGGGUGGUGGUGGAAAGCUUUUGCGGUGUGGGAUGGGCCCGCGGCCUAUCAGCUUGUUGGUGGGGUGAUGGCCUACCAAGGCGGCGACGGGUAGCCGGCCUGAGAGGGUGACCGGCCAGCCGGGGACUGAGAUACGGCCCAGACUCCUACGGGAGGCAGAAGGGGGGAAUAUUGCACAAUGGGCGCAGGGCUGAUGCCGCGACGCCGCGUGAGGGAUGACGGCCUUCGGGGUGUAAACCUCUUUCAGCACCGACGAAGCGCAAGUGACGGUAGGUGCAGAAGAAGGACCGGCCAACUACGUGCCAGCCGCCGCCGUAA